AACUGGAGGAAGGUGGGGAUGACGUCAAGUCAUCAUGGCCCUUACGGCCAGGGCUACACACGUGCUACAAUGGUCGGUACAAAGGGUUGCCAAGCCGCGAGGUGGAGCUAAUCCCAUAAAACCGAUCGUAGUCCGGAUCGCAGUCUGCAACUCGACUGCGUGAAGUCGGAAUCGCUAGUAAUCGUGAAUCAGAAUGUCACGGUGAAUACGUUCCCGGGCCUUGUACACACCGCCCGUCACACCAUGGGAGUGGGUUGCUCCAGAAGUAGCUAGUCUAACCGCAAGGGGGACGGUUACCACGGAGUGAUUCAUGACUGGGGUGAAGUCGUAACAAGGUAGCCGUAGGGGAACCUGCGGUUGGAUCACCUCCU
Molecule: ribosomal RNA, 371 nt
Filed under: Pseudomonas aeruginosa
Lineage: Bacteria; Pseudomonadati; Pseudomonadota; Gammaproteobacteria; Pseudomonadales; Pseudomonadaceae
Description: bacterial SSU rRNA
Rfam family: Bacterial small subunit ribosomal RNA
Source: RNAcentral